This is an RNA transcript of Drosophila guanche, 1957 nucleotides long. RefSeq lists it as uncharacterized. The record is from RefSeq and is a predicted model, not a curated record. Lineage: Eukaryota; Metazoa; Arthropoda; Insecta; Diptera; Drosophilidae. The transcript has 10 exons.
UCAUUUCGCUGCCCUACGCAUCUGUACCAGCAGUGGUCAAUUUUCAAUGUCAGUCACACAUCAGUCAGCGCAGAGGUUAAUUUAGUAAAAGUGAAAAAAGUGAAAAUUGUGCAGUGAAGUGAGCGUAGUGAAGUGAAGUGAGUGUAGUGAUGUGCAGUGUAAAGAUGUGCAGUGUAGUGAUGUGCAGUGUAGUGAUUAAACAAUUAAAAGUAUCCCAACAGCCAGGCGUCAAAGUGUUUUAUAGUGAAAAGUGUAAAAGCUGCUAGUGCGGGUGCGGACCAUGUGCCGAAUAUGCAAAAGUGUGUGUGCCAACAGAUCACUGAAAAUGUGUGCUAAAUCUAAUAUAUUAAUAAUGAGCAUAUUCCAUUUUUUUCUUGUGCAAAACGCAGCUAAAAUCAAACGGCACAUGGUUCCGUUAUGUCUGUAGAUGCCUCAGAUGUGUUCGUUUAUCAUAUAUGCGGUGUUUGUGUGUGUAAGUGAUAGAACGCAAAAGCAGUAGCAAAACGCGAUCCAAGCCCAAAGAGCGGAGCAGAGGAGGAGGAGCAAUGCUCUCGUUGUCAAAGUCACGAAUAUGUGAGGUGAUGCUUUCCAAUUGCCCAAAGAUGUUCGCUCUCCUGGUUGCUAUGUGCACAACUACUUCAAUAAAAGAUGCCUGUGUCGUGGGAGUGCGCCCUGUGAUGCCUCACCUUAUAAGUAUCCAUCCCAAACUUGUGCUCUUAUUGUAAAUGGCACUAGGCAAAUGUUCUGCUGGAAGAAAAAUGAACGGUACAAGUUCGCAAGGGCAUAAGUCACGACAAUGUGAGGUGAUGCUAUCCAAUUGCCCAAAGAUGUUACGCUCUCGUUAGCUGUGUGCACAACCACACUUCAACAAAAUGUGCGACUGUUGUGGGAGUGCUCCCUAUGAUGCCUCACCUUACAAUUAUUCAUCCCAAACUUGUGCUCUUAUUGGAAAUGGCACUAGGAAAAUGUUCUGCUGGAAGAAAAAUGAACGGUACACGUUCGCUGGGGAAUAAGAAAAGAAGUGCCCAAGAAGUUUAUGCUGGAAAAUGCAAGACUUGCGGAAAUCCAGCAAAUCCAGGAUCCAGCGGAAAAAUGUUUGCAGAAAUCUAAAAGAAUAUUCUGCAGUCUUCAAUUAACAGAUUAAUUUCAUCGGGAAAAUCCAGCCAGCAAAGUGGAAACCCAAGUUAAAUGAAUGGAUUUUGGUGCUACAGAAUUAAGAGCUUGCUGGGCUGGAACUGGCUGGACUGAAGAGAGGCCUACGAAUGCGCUAUAGCUGAGGGGGCCUAAAGGGUGCCACGGGAAGAAAGAAAACCAGAUGGAGCCUGAUUGAAGUUCAGCUAAAACAGAUGGAAGUCGUUCCAAAAACUAAGGCUAUUUAGCAGAGAAGCAAAGCAGAUUGAAAGACCGUCUGCCACUUCUGCAAAUGCCAUACAACCAGGAUCGGAACGAGGAGAUGGUCCAGGAUGCAUAUAGCUGCACCGUUGAGCGGCACUUCGAGGACGCUCAGUAUCUGAAAAUUAGCUGCCGUGUGCAGCAGCCGAGCCUUGGGUCCACUGACUACAGACGUAAUUUAAUUUUCAUGGUACCGACUGUCCCGAAACAUCUGCGGCGUCAAUGGAACCUCAAAGUGCCCUUCGAUGCGGUAGUCUAACCCAAAGAGCUGACAGCAAAACCAUGCAAAUAAAUUCCACAAAGUGCCACAGCUAGAGAUCGAAAUAAAAGAAAUCCAUAGAAACAAAUAGUGAAGCAAUCAAUUGUUGCAAGUUCUUUACCCAAAAUGCCUGAAAAUACACGUACUUCAGCGGUGUGGAUGGCCAUAAUGGCCGCCUGCAUAACUAGUCUCCUGAUCCAAUUUCAAUUUCAUUGCCAGCCACCUAAUAGAAGCCGCUGUCUGGCCCAUAAAUUGGAGAACAAAUUUCGAGAGUACCAGGAGCGAGUGUUUCGUGAUGCGAAAAAU